AGAGUUUGAUCCUGGCUCAGGAUGAACGCUAGCUACAGGCUUAACACAUGCAAGUCGAGGGGCAGCAUGGUCUUAGCUUGCUAAGGCCGAUGGCGACCGGCGCACGGGUGAGUAACGCGUAUCCAACCUGCCUUACACUCUUGGACAGCCUUCUGAAAGGGAGAUUAAUACAAGAUGUUAUCAUGAGUAAGCAUUUUCACAUGAUUAAAGGUUUACCGGUGUAAGAUGGGGAUGCGUUCCAUUAGAUAGUAGGCGGGGUAACGGCCCACCUAGUCUUCGAUGGAUAGGGGUUCUGAGAGGAAGGUCCCCCACAUUGGAACUGAGACACGGUCCAAACUCCUACGGGAGGCAGCAGUGAGGAAUAUUGGUCAAUGGACGAGAGUCUGAACCAGCCAAGUAGCGUGAAGGAUGAAGGUUCUAUGGAUUGUAAACUUCUUUUAUACGGGAAUAAACGAAUCCACGUGUGGAUUUUUGCAUGUACCGUAUGAAUAAGGAUCGGCUAACUCCGUGCCAGCAGCCGCGGUAAUACGGAGGAUCCGAGCGUUAUCCGGAUUUAUUGGGUUUAAAGGGAGCGUAGAUGGGUUGUUAAGUCAGUUGUGAAAGUUUGCGGCUCAACCGUAAAAUUGCAAUUGAUACUGGCAGUCUUGAGUACAGUUGAGGUAGGCGGAAUUCGUGGUGUAGCGGUGAAAUGCUUAGAUAUCACGAAGAACUCCGAUUGCGAAGGCAGCUUACUAACCUGUAACUGACAUUGAUGCUCGAAAGUGUGGGUAUCAAACAGGAUUAGAUACCCUGGUAGUCCACACGGUAAACGAUGAAUACUCGCUGUAGGCGAUAUACAGUCUGCGGCCAAGCGAAAGCAUUAAGUAUUCCACCUGGGGAGUACGCCGGCAACGGUGAAACUCAAAGGAAUUGACGGGGGCCCGCACAAGCGGAGGAACAUGUGGUUUAAUUCGAUGAUACGCGAGGAACCUUACCUGGGCUUAAAUUGCAACCGAAUAUGGCGGAAACGCUAUAGCUAGCAAUAGCGGUUGUGAAGGUGCUGCAUGGUUGUCGUCAGCUCGUGCCGUGAGGUGUCGGCUUAAGUGCCAUAACGAGCGCAACCCUUGCCGAUAGUUACUAACAGGUUAUGCUGAGGACUCUGUCGGGACUGCCAUCGUAAGAUGUGAGGAAGGUGGGGAUGACGUCAAAUCAGCACGGCCCUUACGUCCGGGGCUAUACACGUGUUACAAUGGGGGGUACAGAGGGCUGCUACCACGCAAGUGGAUGCCAAUCCCAAAAACCUCUCUCAGUUCGGAUUGAAGUCUGCAACCCGACUUCAUGAAGCUGGAUUCGCUAGUAAUCGCGCAUCAGCCACGGCGCGGUGAAUACGUUCCCGGGCCUUGUACACACCGCCCGUCAAGCCAUGGGAGCCGGGGGUACCUGAAGUGCGUAACCGCAAGGAGCGCCCUAGGGUAAAACUGGUGACUGGGGCUAAGUCGUAACAAGGUAGCCG
This 1492-nucleotide ribosomal RNA is filed under the name uncultured bacterium. RNAcentral's name for it is "16S ribosomal RNA". It matches the Rfam family "Bacterial small subunit ribosomal RNA". The record is from RNAcentral.